Long non-coding RNA from Xiphophorus couchianus (Monterrey platyfish), 1397 nucleotides. RefSeq lists it as uncharacterized. The transcript is spliced from 2 exons. The record is from RefSeq and is a predicted model, not a curated record. NCBI's taxonomy places the organism in Eukaryota, Metazoa, Chordata, Actinopteri, Cyprinodontiformes, Poeciliidae.
CUUCUUGGCCUCUGAUUGCAACAGCAGGACAAUCCAACAUUUUAGUCUGACUUCAUCUGGAAAUAUUUCUUUGACCCUGAAUCAGUUUGAAGGCAGGCCAGCUCCUCAUCAGAGCUGAGAUCUUCUCUGUCCUCCAUGCUGGAAAUGUACAAGUCCAGCAGCUCCUGAUCAGUGACAUCAGAGCGUGACAUCAUCAGUAGAACGAUGAUGUCAUUUCCCUCUCAGAGCAGCUUGGAAAUCUGAGAGGAAAGAUGCAAACAAAGACUCUCUGGACUGUUGGAUCUGCUGGUUCUGGUUCCAGAUGCUCCUUGGACACUUUCACAAGCCAUUACUGCAGCUGCUGGAUUCAGGAUGCUGCUUCUUCUUCUUGGUCUCAUUGUAAAUGUGUGCAGCAGCGCCACCUGGUGGUGUUGGUUGGUAGAGGAAGUGCUGAAAGGUUGGAGGUGUUUGUCAGAGGUGUGUGAUGAUGGAAGCCUCUCCCUGGUUUGUGAGUCUGAGCUCAGAGAUCAAAUCUCUGAUUCUUGUUGAACUCUUUGUUGAAUGUGAUGCAGCUUCUCCUUUUUAAUGUUUGUAUUUCUGGAUAUUACAGUGAGGCCACAGCAGGUUUUCAGCAGCAGGGCUGUUUAGUGUUUCAUUCCUUCAUCUGUGUGUGGGAGUGUGGAUGGAACAGGUAUCCAGGUGUUGUGUCAGAGUUUAGAUUGAUUGUAUUUUAAUGCUGAUUAUUAAAUCAGGUUGAGCUUCCAGAAAUGUUUCCUUAGUUUCCUGAUGUCCUUUUAGGCUUCAGUGAGUUUCUUCAGGUUGUUACUGAGGGAUUUCCUUUCUCCUCUCUGUUGGAGCUUUUCCUGUGUUUGGAGAAAUGAGUUGUGCUGCAGCAGCACCAACUGUCCUUCCUACAUCCACUGCAGUUUGCAAUCCAAAUGUUGGACUGUUCCUGUCUCAGUGGAGGACAAUGUGUGUCUGAGAGACAUGUAAUGUCCAUGUUUGCUGCUGAAAGAGACUGAUGGUCUGACCCCCCUCCUCCUUUCAGGGUGGAGCCUGCUGGAGUCCCAUUCUUGACACCAGGUGUGAGGAAGUAUUCCUGUCAACUCACCAUCGACACAAACACAGUGAACAGAAAACUCAAACUGUCUGAAGACAUCAGGAAGGUGACAUAUGUGAAGGAGCUUCAGUCAUAUCCUGAUCAUCCAGACAGAUUUGAUUGUUAUCAUCAGCUGCUGUGUAGAACUGGUUUGACUGGUCGCUGUUACUGGGAGGUUGAGUGGAGAGGAGAAGUUUAUAUAUCAGUGAGUUACAGAAGAAUCAGGAGGAAAGGAAACAGUAGAGACUGUUGGUUUGGAUGGAAUGAUCAUUCCUGGAGUCUGAGCUGCUCUGAUGUUGGUUACUCUGUCUGGCACAAU